RNAcentral lists this ribosomal RNA (253 nucleotides) under uncultured bacterium. RNAcentral's name for it is "partial 16S ribosomal RNA". It matches the Rfam family "Bacterial small subunit ribosomal RNA", at positions 524 to 776 of the family's 1533-position model. The record is from RNAcentral.
UACGUAGGGAGCAAGCGUUGUCCGGAAUCAUUGGGCGUAAAGCGCGCGUAGGUGGCCUCGUAAGUCCGCUGUGAAAGUCAAAGGCUCAACCUUUGAAAGCCGGUGGAUACUGCAGGGCUAGAGUACGGAAGAGGCGAGUGGAAUUCCUGGUGUAGCGGUGGAAUGCGCAGAUAUCAGGAGGAACACCAAUAGCGAAGGCAGCUCGCUGGGACGUUACUGACACUGAGGCGCGAAAGCGUGGGGAGCAAACAGG